CACCAGACUCCUACGGGAGGCAGCAGUGAGGAAUAUUGGUCAAUGGGCGGAAGCCUGAACCAGCCAAGUCGCGUGAGGGAAGAAGGCCCUGCGGGUCGCAGACCUCUUUGGACGGGGAGCAAGGCCGCCGACGUGUCGGCGGAAGGAGAGUACCCGUAGAACAAGCAUCGGCUAACUCCGUGCCAGCAGCCGCGGUAAUACGUAUGAUGCGAGCGUUGUCCGGAUUUACUGGGCGUGAAGGGGGCGCAGGCGGCGCGCCAAGCCCGAUGUGAAAGCCCGGGGCUCAACCCCGGGACUGCAUUGGGAACUGGCGUGCUGGAGUGCCGGAGGGGCAGGCGGAAUUCCUGGUGUAGCGGUGAAAUGCGUAGAUAUCAGGAGGAACACCGGUGGCGAAGGCGGCCUGCUGGACGGAUACUGACGCUGAGGCCCGAAAGCGUGGGGAGCGAACAGGAUUAGAUACCCUAGUAUC
This 469-nucleotide ribosomal RNA is filed under the name uncultured bacterium. RNAcentral describes it as "bacterial SSU rRNA". It matches the Rfam family "Bacterial small subunit ribosomal RNA", at positions 329 to 794 of the family's 1533-position model. The record is from RNAcentral.